Molecule: ribosomal RNA, 489 nt
Filed under: uncultured bacterium
Lineage: Bacteria
Description: partial 16S ribosomal RNA
Rfam family: Bacterial small subunit ribosomal RNA
Source: RNAcentral
AUUGAACGCUGGCGGCAGGCCUAACACAUGCAAGUCGAACGGUAACAGGAAACAGCUUGCUGUUUCGCUGACGAGUGGCGGACGGGUGAGUAAUGUCUGGGAAACUGCCUGAUGGAGGGGGAUAACUACUGGAAACGGUAGCUAAUACCGCAUAACGUCGCAAGACCAAGAGGGGGACCCUCGGGCCUCUUGCCAUCGGAUGUGCCCAGAUGGGAUUAGCUAGUAGGUGGGGUAACGGCUCACCUAGGCGACGAUCCCUAGCUGGUCUGAGAGGAUGACCAGCCACACUGGAACUGAGACACGGUCCAGACUCCUACGGGAGGCAGCAGUGGGGAAUAUUGCACAAUGGGCGCAAGCCUGAUGCAGCCAUGCCGCGUGUAUGAAGAAGGCCUUCGGGUUGUAAAGUACUUUCAGCGGGGAUGAAGGGAGUAAAGUUAAUACCUUUGCUCAUUGACGUUACCAGCAGAAGAAGCACCGGCUAACUCCGUG